This 494-nucleotide ribosomal RNA is filed under the name uncultured bacterium. RNAcentral describes it as "bacterial SSU rRNA". It matches the Rfam family "Bacterial small subunit ribosomal RNA", at positions 1 to 507 of the family's 1533-position model. The record is from RNAcentral.
UAUCGACGAGUUUGAUCCUGGCUCAGGAUGAACGCUAGCGGCAGGCUUAAUACAUGCAAGUCAAGGGGGUAGCAAUACAACCGGCGCACGGGUGAGUAACACGUACACAACAUACCAUAUACUGAGGUAUAGCUUCGGGAAACUGAAGGUAAUCCCUCAUAGUAUUGUGAAAGGGCAUCUUUUUACAAUUAAAAUUUCGACGGUAUAUGAUUGGUGUGCGUUUGAUUAGCUAGUUGGUAGGGUAACGGCCUACCAAGGCAACGAUCAAUAGCUGGCGUGAGAGCGCGACCAGCCACACUGGAACUGAGACACGGUCCAGACUCCUACGGGAGGCAGCAGUAGGGAAUAUUGGACAAUGGGCGAAAGCCUGAUCCAGCCAUGCCGCGUGAUAGAUGAAGGCCCUCUGGGUUGUAAAUAUCUUUUAUCUGGGAAGAAACACUUCUAUUCUUAGAAGCUUGACGGUACCAGAGGAAUAAGCACCGGCUAACUCCGUG